This 254-nucleotide ribosomal RNA is filed under the name uncultured bacterium. RNAcentral describes it as "partial 16S ribosomal RNA". It matches the Rfam family "Bacterial small subunit ribosomal RNA", at positions 524 to 776 of the family's 1533-position model. The record is from RNAcentral.
UACGUAGGGGGCAAGCGUUGUUCGGAAUGACUGGGCGUAAAGGGUGCGUAGGCGGUGUAGCAAGUUAGAAGUGAAAUACCUAGAGCUUAACUCAGGUGCUGCUUCUAAAACUGCUAUACUUGAGUGCAGAAGGGGAGAGUGGAAUUCCAUGUGUAGCGGUGGAAUGCGUAGAUAUAUGGAGGAACACCGGUGGCGAAAGCGGCUCUCUGGUCUGUAACUGACGCUGAGGCUCGAAAGCGUGGGUAGCGAACAGG